GCCUGCAAUCAGAAUGCAACAAGUUGAAUAGCACCGAAUAUUAGGAUUUGACUCUUGCGAAAACUGCUCGCGCGUAUUGUCUCUGGUGUUCAGAACGGCAAGAAGAGGAGAAGUUAAAGCGAUAGGAGGAGCAAAUAAAAAAAUUACUAAUGAAGAAACAGAGACACAGUAAAGAUACAAUCGACUUUUUCAGACACAUCACCCGCACAAAUAUAAAACGAAAUGUGCGCGAAAUGUUGCUUUAUUGGCAACAAAAUUAAAUACCUCGAUGACAACCAAAUAGAUGAACCAUCAGUUUCCCAGUUAAGCCAUCAAUGACGGACCAUUCUGUACGAUAGCAUACUGACAAAACAAAUUAGUUGCAAACAUAAAAAUGAAUCCGCUUUGAGGAACAAAAUACCACAGGAAGAGAAUCAGUUCAAGCGGGAUUGUAUUAUGCAAAAGGGAUGGAUUUUCGACCUAUCGAACGCAGAAGGAAUAACAACCCACGGGCGGCGUCUUGAUAACGUACAACAUAAUCUACGUUAAAAGCAAGUGUACCUGGCUCGCGUCCGCAGCUUCUGUGUCUACCAGUCGGAAU
This is a long non-coding RNA of Solenopsis invicta (red fire ant), 580 nucleotides long. RefSeq lists it as uncharacterized. The transcript is spliced from 3 exons. The record is from RefSeq and is a predicted model, not a curated record. Lineage: Eukaryota; Metazoa; Arthropoda; Insecta; Hymenoptera; Formicidae.